Hyla sarda is the source of this 737-nucleotide long non-coding RNA. RefSeq lists it as uncharacterized. The transcript is spliced from 3 exons. Lineage: Eukaryota; Metazoa; Chordata; Amphibia; Anura; Hylidae. The record is from RefSeq and is a predicted model, not a curated record.
ACACAGAUUAAAUAUAGUGGAGCUGGACAUUUUCUGCAAGCAUCACUGUCCGAUGAUACAACCAGGUGCAUGCACGGUCUACAGACAGGAAAAGAUGCUGGUAUUAACCAAGUUAAUGCUAAUACCACUGAGGAAGGGAAGAAUAUGGUGUGUUUACAGCAUGCUGCCUUGUGCUGCACAAUGACACAGACAGAGGGCCAGACAGGCAAUGAAUACAGCAGGCUCUGAAGGCUGUUCUGUUUUGUAGUGCAAUGUUUUGCAGCAGCACUCGCCAGGAGGUCUAGGUCCAUCUGCCUCAAAAAGAAGGAUUUUGGUCAAGAUCUACGUAUAUGACAUGAACUUCAAGAAUUUCUUCACGCAGUCUUCUUUCAUGUAAUCCUUGUUGGUGUAUACCCUUCUUGUUUCGGACUUGUUGAAUUUUUUUUAAUAUUUUGCAGCAUGGCAUUCUCUUGCACUUAUAUGUUUUUUCUUUUCUCUUGUUCAUCACCUCUCCUUUCUCUUCUCUCCUUCCUUUGCUAUUUCAUUUUUAGACUAAGUAUGCUUUGUAAUAUUGGACUUGCUGUGCUUUGUAGUCCUUUUUGGACACAGUUUUACUUCAGCUGUGUUAUUUUUUCUAUAAUGUUUGUGCAUAUUAUAUCCUACUAACUCCUAUUCUGACGUGAAGGGUCACCCAUGUUUUUCUUGCUGUUCUGUCCUCCAUCUGGGUGGAAGUCCUUCAUUUUUUAUGUAUUAAUGUA